Molecule: long non-coding RNA, 2022 nt
Filed under: Citrus x clementina
Lineage: Eukaryota; Viridiplantae; Streptophyta; Magnoliopsida; Sapindales; Rutaceae
Description: Citrus clementina (C. clementina) long non-coding RNA (CCLE_LNC000118)
Source: RNAcentral
UGAAAAUAUAUUAUAAAGAGAGAUGAGAAGAAGAAUUUUUGGGGAAAGAAGAGAAGAGAUAUGUGAAGAUGUGUGUGACCCCUUCUCUAUUUAUACUAUUACAUGGUAAAUCCACACCACACAAAUAAAAAAAAAAAAAUUACGUCUUAACCUUACAUUUGUCCUACUAAUAAUCCCACUAAUAAAACAUAAACCUAACUUAAUCCACUCAAGCAUAUCCAACAUAUUCCACUAACAAUUAUCAUACUUAACAUGAUAAAAACUUAUAAUUUUACAAUUAUCACAUUUACCAUGAUAAAAAUAUAAAAAUUUACAACAAAAGUCUCGGCUUCUCCUCGAUAAUGACAUAAUUUCUAGGACUUUCGGAAUCUAAAUUUGAUAUAUGUACAUUUGUUUGGAGCCUCAAAUUGCAUGAAAUUAUUAUUUUUACCUAAUAAACACACAAAAUACACAUAAUCAAAUAUUUAGAAAAAUAAUUAAAAAUUCACAGUAUGUUACACAAUUACAAAUAUAAAUUACAGUAAUAGCAUAAAAUAACAUUUUUAUCCCUUAAUAAACAUAUAAUUUUUAACACUAAUCAUUGGGGCUACUUUUAUGUCCUCAUAAAUAUUUUGUCAAGCUAGGACUGGGCCUUUUUUUUUCACUUUCUCAAUUAUUUUUCGAGUAAAGUUUGGAGAUUAUACAGACACAUAAUAUCUUUAUUUGUCAAAAAAAAUAAUACAGAUUACGGGAAUUCAGAUGUUAUUACCCCAAAAAACACCAAAAAAAAAUAUAUAUAUUAUACUUUAAUCGAAGAGCGUAGGCGUGACUGACUUCAUCAUCUCACUCUCAUCUGGUUUGUUUCCACCUCCUGUGUGUGAGAACAGAAUUCGAAAAAGGUUAUUUAAACUCACAAGAAUCUGGCCUUUUCUUUUUCUUUUCAGUCAUUUGUUUCAAUGUUUCUUCUCGCAGAAUCAAAUAUCAUAAAGAGACAUUUGGAUCCGAUAAUUGUUAAAAAUCAAAACUAGGGUGAUAUAUGUUAAAAAUCUUAUAGCAUCUGUUUGAAAUUGUCGUGCUUUGACAUUUUGAAGUUACACUGAAAUUUAUUAAUAUUGAAAUUGAUUAAUAGUCUAUUGAAAAGUUACAUUUCUACAAUAUUACCGUAUACUUUAAAUUCGGCUAAGCAUACCUCAAAAUUUAGGCUUAUAAAGACUCAACUCCUUGUCCUCGGACAUUAGGUGGCAAAGUUAUAGUACAUCUUCGAAAAUAAUGAUACCUUUUAAAUAAAAAAGAAUUACAUUUAAUAGUAGCAGAAUUCUCUCGUGAUCUGAUCAUAUCCUGAACAAAUAACUCAAUUGAUGAUUAAUUAUUAAUAAAUAAAAAAAUAAAAAAAUUAAAUAUUAUUCAUAUACUAUCACUAAACGACACAUAAUAAAUUUUUUUAAAAAAAUCAGUAAAAUUCAGAUAAUGAGAUAAUCAUAUUCCUUCCAUUAGAGGGAAUUGAGCUUUAAAGCCCACGACACGUCAAUGGGAGCUUGACACAUGUGCGGCAGUCACAAAUUCACCUCCCUUAAUGCUGGUGUGGACAGGACGUAGAAAGUUUCUUACCAUUAGUCAAAUAGGUGGGACUGGAGAGAAUGUUUAGUACUUUGUCAAUUUAAAUGCCGACAUUCUGCUGGUAAAUAAAAAUAAAUAAAUACAAAAUUGGGGAAUUUCACUUGAACUAGUUUAUGGACAUUUGCGAUGGACUAAUCAUCAUCACUUGUUGAAUUAGGUAAGAAAAAUGAGCAUGUGCACAUUUUUUUAUAUAUUACUUCAAAGGAAUUUUAUAAUUUGAACAUAACAUGGCUAAUUUGCAAAUGAUGAAGGCCUAGUUAGAUGAUCGAGUUCAAGAACCUCAAAUUCAGGCAAGUGGGAGGAUUUGAUUCUCUCAUUCAUUCUACUUUUCGAUGAGAAUAUUUCUUGAAAUUUGACAUAGUCUGCGUCCCCAUACAAACUUUUUAAUACUUUACAAUGUUAUAUUAUAUUAAACUAAACUUUAUA